AAUUAUUAAGUUUAAAUACAUAUGUUUUGAAAACAUAAAUAAGAAUAUAUUUCUAUUAAUUU
RNAcentral lists this transfer RNA (62 nucleotides) under Halice sp. JL-2018. Its description in RNAcentral is "tRNA-Ser". The record is from RNAcentral. Lineage: Eukaryota; Metazoa; Arthropoda; Malacostraca; Amphipoda; Pardaliscidae.